This 250-nucleotide ribosomal RNA is filed under the name uncultured bacterium. RNAcentral describes it as "partial 16S ribosomal RNA". It matches the Rfam family "Bacterial small subunit ribosomal RNA", at positions 524 to 776 of the family's 1533-position model. The record is from RNAcentral.
UACAGAGGGGGCAAGCGUUGUUCGGAAUACUGGCGUAAGCGCGCGCAGGCGGUCUUCCAAGUCAGUGGUGAAAGCCCGGAGCUCAACUCCGGAACUGCCAUUGAAACUGUAAGACUUGAGGAUGAGAGAGGUGAGUGGAAUUCCCAGUGUAGAGGUGAAAUUCGUAGAUAUUGGGAAGAACACCGGUGGCGAAGGCGGCUCACUGGCUCAUUACUGACGCUCAGGCGCGACAGCGUGGGGAUCAAACAGG